Molecule: ribosomal RNA, 445 nt
Filed under: uncultured bacterium
Lineage: Bacteria
Description: partial 16S ribosomal RNA
Rfam family: Bacterial small subunit ribosomal RNA
Source: RNAcentral
GUGAGGAAUAUUGGUCAAUGGGCGAGAGCCUGAACCAGCCAAGUCGCGUGAAGGAAGAAGGAUCUAUGGUUCGUAAACUUCUUUUGCAGGGGAAUAAAGUGCGGGACGUGUCCUGUUUUGUAUGUACCCUGAGAAUAAGGAUCGGCUAACUCCGUGCCAGCAGCCGCGGUAAUACGGAGGAUCCGAGCGUUAUCCGGAUUUAUUGGGUUUAAAGGGUGCGUAGGUGGUUUGAUAAGUCAGCGGUGAAAGUUUGCAGCUUAACUGUAAAAAUGCCGUUGAAACUGUCGGACUUGAGUGUAAAUGAGGUAGGCGGAAUGCGUGGUGUAGCGGUGAAAUGCAUAGAUAUCACGCAGAACUCCGAUUGCGAAGGCAGCUUACUAAGCUACAACUGACACUGAAGCACGAAAGCGUGGGGAUCAAACAGGAUUAGAUACCCGUGUAGUCC